Molecule: ribosomal RNA, 256 nt
Filed under: uncultured bacterium
Lineage: Bacteria
Description: partial 16S ribosomal RNA
Rfam family: Bacterial small subunit ribosomal RNA
Source: RNAcentral
UAAUACGAAGGGGGCUAGCGUUGUUCGGAUUUACUGGGCGUAAAGCGCGUGUAGGCGGACUGGAAAGUUGGGGGUGAAAUCCCGAGGCUCAACCUCGGAACUGCCUCCAAAACUUCCAGUCUGGACUCAAGCAGAGGCAAGUGGAAUUGCGAGUGUAGAGGUGAAAUUCGUAGAUAUUCGCAGGAACACCAGUGGCGAAGGCGACUUGCUGGGCUUGUAGUGACGCUGAGACGCGAAAGCGUGGGGAGCAAACAGG